UGCUGCAGGCUGUGGUUUGGUGCCAUGGAUGGCACAGAGGCUGGGUGAGGGGCAGUCCCAGAGCACCUUCAUUCUCCUCCUGCAGAUGAGCAGAACACUCCAGAUAGCACUGUGGGAUGAAGGGCUUUGCUGCCCACUGCUCCAAGGUGCCCGACCAGCUGCUGGGACAGCCAGGAAGAGAGCCUGCAAGGUGGCCAUUGCUGUGCAGUAGAAGAUUGUCAACCAUUGUUACUGUGGAAACCUUUGAAAAUAUGCUCCAUGAUAAAUUGGAUCUAGUGGCACCAAGGAAUCCCGAGCCUUCACGUGAUGUCUGCAGUUUGGACAGGAAAGGAAGUGAGAUAUAACACCUGCAAGGUGCUGUGAUGCUCAGCAGUGGUUGUCAGUGCUGUUAGAAAUGUGCCAUGAAGCUCAAGCAAAGGGCAAGGAGUGAACAGCAAACUUAUUCUGAUGGAUGGAGGAAAUUUGAAUCUGAACUUCAAAUGAAUGCUCCUUGUGUCCCUGCUUCCUCCUGGACUCAUGCAGAGAAGCCACUCCCUUGUCCCUUUUGAGGGUCGCAAAUAGCACCCACAGC
Molecule: long non-coding RNA, 571 nt
Organism: Gallus gallus (chicken)
Lineage: Eukaryota; Metazoa; Chordata; Aves; Galliformes; Phasianidae
Exons: 4
Source: RefSeq, a predicted model, not a curated record